AGAGUUUGAUCAUGGCUCAGGAUGAACGCUGGCGGCGUGCCUAACCCAUGUAAGUCGGGCGAUCUGUUCGCAAGAGCAGAGAGCGGCGGAAGGGUGAGUAACACGUAGGAGACCUGCCUCAUCGCAGGGAACAACCCCGCGAAAGCGGGGCUAAUACCCAAGAGGGUCGGUGGUUCGCUCCACCGGUCAGAGUGCCUGCGCAAGCGGGCGCGUGAUGAGAGGGUCCUGCGGCCCAUCAGCUAGUUGGUAGGGUAGUGGCCUACCAAGGCAACGACGGGUAGGGGGUCUGAGAGGACGAUCCCCCACACUGGAACUGAAACACGGUCCAGACGCCUACGGGUGGCAGCAGGGAGGAAUAUUGGGCAAUGGGCGAGAGCCUGACCCAGCAACGCCGCGUGGAGGACGAAGGCCUUCGGGUCGUAAACUCCUUUUGAGGGAGACGAGCAAGGACGGUAUCCCUCGAAUAAGCCACGGCUAACUACGUGCCAGCCGCCGCGGUAAUAC
RNAcentral lists this ribosomal RNA (504 nucleotides) under uncultured bacterium. RNAcentral describes it as "bacterial SSU rRNA". It matches the Rfam family "Bacterial small subunit ribosomal RNA", at positions 8 to 526 of the family's 1533-position model. The record is from RNAcentral.